AUUUGGCUAGUGCAAAAGCGAUAGUAGCGGCAUCCUUUUUAAAGCUUAAAAAAUAAUAAACUUUAAGAGGUCUCUAAAAUUUGAUAGUAUUACCUCCUUCUUUAUCCUUUAUUACAAUGCUUUAAAAAGAUAUAGCGAAUAGCGCGGUGGCUU
RNAcentral lists this small RNA (153 nucleotides) under Flavivirga aquatica. Its description in RNAcentral is "Algibacter sp. SK-16 Flavo-1 RNA". It matches the Rfam family "Flavo-1 RNA". Lineage: Bacteria; Pseudomonadati; Bacteroidota; Flavobacteriia; Flavobacteriales; Flavobacteriaceae. The record is from Rfam by way of RNAcentral.